AGAGUAUAGCUCAGUGGUAGAUAGCAUGCCUCACAUGCCUGAGGUCCUGGGUUCAAUCCCCAGUACCUCUA
RNAcentral lists this transfer RNA (71 nucleotides) under Camelus bactrianus (Bactrian camel). It matches the Rfam family "tRNA". Rfam says of the family: Transfer RNA (tRNA) molecules are approximately 80 nucleotides in length. Their secondary structure includes four short double-helical elements and three loops (D, anti-codon, and T loops). Further hydrogen bonds mediate the characteristic L-shaped molecular structure. tRNAs have two regions of fundamental functional importance: the anti-codon, which is responsible for specific mRNA codon recognition, and the 3' end, to which the tRNAs corresponding amino acid is attached (by aminoacyl-tRNA synthetases). tRNAs cope with the degeneracy of the genetic code in two manners: having more than one tRNA (with a specific anti-codon) for a particular amino acid; and 'wobble' base-pairing, i.e. permitting non-standard base-pairing at the 3rd anti-codon position. Lineage: Eukaryota; Metazoa; Chordata; Mammalia; Artiodactyla; Camelidae. The record is from Rfam by way of RNAcentral. RNAcentral also lists the same sequence under 2 other names.